Molecule: ribosomal RNA, 2655 nt
Filed under: Escherichia coli
Lineage: Bacteria; Pseudomonadati; Pseudomonadota; Gammaproteobacteria; Enterobacterales; Enterobacteriaceae
Description: bacterial LSU rRNA
Rfam family: Bacterial large subunit ribosomal RNA
Source: RNAcentral
ACUAUCAUUAACUGAAUCCAUAGGUUAAUGAGGCGAACCGGGGGAACUGAAACAUCUAAGUACCCCGAGGAAAAGAAAUCAACCGAGAUUCCCCCAGUAGCGGCGAGCGAACGGGGAGCAGCCCAGAGCCUGAAUCAGUGUGUGUGUUAGUGGAAGCGUCUGGAAAGGCGCGCGAUACAGGGUGACAGCCCCGUACACAAAAAUGCACAUGCUGUGAGCUCGAUGAGUAGGGCGGGACACGUGGUAUCCUGUCUGAAUAUGGGGGGACCAUCCUCCAAGGCUAAAUACUCCUGACUGACCGAUAGUGAACCAGUACCGUGAGGGAAAGGCGAAAAGAACCCCGGCGAGGGGAGUGAAAAAGAACCUGAAACCGUGUACGUACAAGCAGUGGGAGCACGCUUAGGCGUGUGACUGCGUACCUUUUGUAUAAUGGGUCAGCGACUUAUAUUCUGUAGCAAGGUUAACCGAAUAGGGGAGCCGAAGGGAAACCGAGUCUUAACUGGGCGUUAAGUUGCAGGGUAUAGACCCGAAACCCGGUGAUCUAGCCAUGGGCAGGUUGAAGGUUGGGUAACACUAACUGGAGGACCGAACCGACUAAUGUUGAAAAAUUAGCGGAUGACUUGUGGCUGGGGGUGAAAGGCCAAUCAAACCGGGAGAUAGCUGGUUCUCCCCGAAAGCUAUUUAGGUAGCGCCUCGUGAAUUCAUCUCCGGGGGUAGAGCACUGUUUCGGCAAGGGGGUCAUCCCGACUUACCAACCCGAUGCAAACUGCGAAUACCGGAGAAUGUUAUCACGGGAGACACACGGCGGGUGCUAACGUCCGUCGUGAAGAGGGAAACAACCCAGACCGCCAGCUAAGGUCCCAAAGUCAUGGUUAAGUGGGAAACGAUGUGGGAAGGCCCAGACAGCCAGGAUGUUGGCUUAGAAGCAGCCAUCAUUUAAAGAAAGCGUAAUAGCUCACUGGUCGAGUCGGCCUGCGCGGAAGAUGUAACGGGGCUAAACCAUGCACCGAAGCUGCGGCAGCGACGCUUAUGCGUUGUUGGGUAGGGGAGCGUUCUGUAAGCCUGCGAAGGUGUGCUGUGAGGCAUGCUGGAGGUAUCAGAAGUGCGAAUGCUGACAUAAGUAACGAUAAAGCGGGUGAAAAGCCCGCUCGCCGGAAGACCAAGGGUUCCUGUCCAACGUUAAUCGGGGCAGGGUGAGUCGACCCCUAAGGCGAGGCCGAAAGGCGUAGUCGAUGGGAAACAGGUUAAUAUUCCUGUACUUGGUGUUACUGCGAAGGGGGGACGGAGAAGGCUAUGUUGGCCGGGCGACGGUUGUCCCGGUUUAAGCGUGUAGGCUGGUUUUCCAGGCAAAUCCGGAAAAUCAAGGCUGAGGCGUGAUGACGAGGCACUACGGUGCUGAAGCAACAAAUGCCCUGCUUCCAGGAAAAGCCUCUAAGCAUCAGGUAACAUCAAAUCGUACCCCAAACCGACACAGGUGGUCAGGUAGAGAAUACCAAGGCGCUUGAGAGAACUCGGGUGAAGGAACUAGGCAAAAUGGUGCCGUAACUUCGGGAGAAGGCACGCUGAUAUGUAGGUGAAGUCCCUCGCGGAUGGAGCUGAAAUCAGUCGAAGAUACCAGCUGGCUGCAACUGUUUAUUAAAAACACAGCACUGUGCAAACACGAAAGUGGACGUAUACGGUGUGACGCCUGCCCGGUGCCGGAAGGUUAAUUGAUGGGGUUAGCGCAAGCGAAGCUCUUGAUCGAAGCCCCGGUAAACGGCGGCCGUAACUAUAACGGUCCUAAGGUAGCGAAAUUCCUUGUCGGGUAAGUUCCGACCUGCACGAAUGGCGUAAUGAUGGCCAGGCUGUCUCCACCCGAGACUCAGUGAAAUUGAACUCGCUGUGAAGAUGCAGUGUACCCGCGGCAAGACGGAAAGACCCCGUGAACCUUUACUAUAGCUUGACACUGAACAUUGAGCCUUGAUGUGUAGGAUAGGUGGGAGGCUUUGAAGUGUGGACGCCAGUCUGCAUGGAGCCGACCUUGAAAUACCACCCUUUAAUGUUUGAUGUUCUAACGUUGACCCGUAAUCCGGGUUGCGGACAGUGUCUGGUGGGUAGUUUGACUGGGGCGGUCUCCUCCUAAAGAGUAACGGAGGAGCACGAAGGUUGGCUAAUCCUGGUCGGACAUCAGGAGGUUAGUGCAAUGGCAUAAGCCAGCUUGACUGCGAGCGUGACGGCGCGAGCAGGUGCGAAAGCAGGUCAUAGUGAUCCGGUGGUUCUGAAUGGAAGGGCCAUCGCUCAACGGAUAAAAGGUACUCCGGGGAUAACAGGCUGAUACCGCCCAAGAGUUCAUAUCGACGGCGGUGUUUGGCACCUCGAUGUCGGCUCAUCACAUCCUGGGGCUGAAGUAGGUCCCAAGGGUAUGGCUGUUCGCCAUUUAAAGUGGUACGCGAGCUGGGUUUAGAACGUCGUGAGACAGUUCGGUCCCUAUCUGCCGUGGGCGCUGGAGAACUGAGGGGGGCUGCUCCUAGUACGAGAGGACCGGAGUGGACGCAUCACUGGUGUUCGGGUUGUCAUGCCAAUGGCACUGCCCGGUAGCUAAAUGCGGAAGAGAUAAGUGCUGAAAGCAUCUAAGCACGAAACUUGCCCCGAGAUGAGUUCUCCCUGACUCCUUGA